This 68-nucleotide transfer RNA is filed under the name Sorineuchora shanensis. RNAcentral's name for it is "tRNA-Ile". Lineage: Eukaryota; Metazoa; Arthropoda; Insecta; Blattodea; Pseudophyllodromiidae. The record is from RNAcentral.
AAUGCUGUGCCUGAUAAAAGGAUUACUAUGAUAGGGUAAAUAAUGUAUUUAAAUUUCUACCUGCAUUA